This 560-nucleotide ribosomal RNA is filed under the name uncultured bacterium. RNAcentral's name for it is "bacterial SSU rRNA". It matches the Rfam family "Bacterial small subunit ribosomal RNA", at positions 338 to 916 of the family's 1533-position model. The record is from RNAcentral.
CCUAUGGGAGGCAGCAGUGGGGAAUCUUGCGCAAUGGGCGAAAGCCUGACGCAGCCAUGCCGCGUGAAUGAUGAAGGUCUUAGGAUUGUAAAAUUCUUUCACCGGGGACGAUAAUGACGGUACCCGGAGAAGAAGCCCCGGCUAGCUUCGUGCCAGCAGCCGCGGUAAUACGAAGGGGGCUAGCGUUGCUCGGAAUUACUGGGCGUAAAGGGAGCGUAGGCGGACAUUUAAGUCAGGGGUGAAAUCCCGGGGCUCAACCUCGGAAUUGCCUUUGAUACUGGGUGUCUUGAGUAUGAGAGAGGUGUGUGGAACUCCGAGUGUAGAGGUGAAAUUCGUAGAUAUUCGGAAGAACACCAGUGGCGAAGGCGACACACUGGCUCAUUACUGACGCUGAGGCUCGAAAGCGUGGGGAGCAAACAGGAUUAGAUACCCUGGUAGUCCACGCCGUAAACGAUGAUUGCUAGUUGUCGGGAUGCAUGCAUUUCGGUGACGCAGCUAACGCAUUAAGCAAUCCGCCUGGGGAGUACGGUCGCAAGAUUAAAACUCAAAGGAAUUGACGG